RNAcentral lists this transfer RNA (84 nucleotides) under Propionibacteriaceae bacterium. Its description in RNAcentral is "tRNA-Leu". It matches the Rfam family "tRNA". Rfam says of the family: Transfer RNA (tRNA) molecules are approximately 80 nucleotides in length. Their secondary structure includes four short double-helical elements and three loops (D, anti-codon, and T loops). The record is from RNAcentral. Lineage: Bacteria; Bacillati; Actinomycetota; Actinomycetes; Propionibacteriales; Propionibacteriaceae.
GCGCGAGUGGCGGAAUGGCAGACGCGCUGGCUUCAGGUGCCAGUCCCCGUUUAGGGGGUGGAGGUUCAACUCCUCUCUCGCGCA